This 669-nucleotide long non-coding RNA is filed under the name Pan troglodytes (chimpanzee). RNAcentral describes it as "long non-coding RNA NONPTRT018436". The record is from RNAcentral. Lineage: Eukaryota; Metazoa; Chordata; Mammalia; Primates; Hominidae.
CCUCUGCAGCCCUUCUCGUCAUCUUCACAGUUGGUCUUAGGUAGUUCUAGCUGGCUUCUCGCCUAUUCAUUGUUUUUUGUUGUUGUUGUUUUUUUUUUUUUUUUUUGGAGAGGCUGUGUCCCCACCCAAAUCUCAUCUUGAAUUGUAGUUCCUAUAAUGCCUAUGUGUUGUGGGAGGGACCUGGUGGGAGGUAAUUGAUUCAUGGGAGCAGUUACCACCAUGCCGUUCUUGUAAUAGUGAGUUCUCAUGAGAUCUGAUGGCUUUAUAAGGGGUGUUUCCCCUUUUGCUCUGUACUUCUCCUUGCUUUCACCAUGUGAAGAAGGAUAUGUUUACUUCCCCUUCCUGAAGAAAUCCAAACUGAGGCCUGUCAUCUGGGGUUUUGUUCUGCCAGAGUGGCUUGUGACCAGGAGUAGUACAGUCUGGAGGUGAUCCUGACAUGUGGACUGCCCCAUGAAAUGCCUCACUUCAUUUUGGUUUUUGAGUCUUUGUUUUAAAGGGAAGUAGUUUUGUAACAGCAGUUCAUCGGCAUAGCGAGACAUAAGCAUUAAACAUUGAAGCGUUGGUCUGUGCUGCUUCCUUUAUCUUUCGUUCUUGCACCGCGUGGCCUCAUGACUCAUUCUCAUGGACUGACACUAUACACACCACCCACAGCUGUCCUUUCAUGAUAUG